This 450-nucleotide ribosomal RNA is filed under the name uncultured bacterium. RNAcentral's name for it is "partial 16S ribosomal RNA". It matches the Rfam family "Bacterial small subunit ribosomal RNA", at positions 354 to 796 of the family's 1533-position model. The record is from RNAcentral.
GUGGGGAAUUUUGGACAAUGGGCGCAAGCCUGAUCCAGCCAUUCCGCGUGCAGGAUGAAGGCCUUCGGGUUGUAAACUGCUUUUGUACGGAACGAAAAGCCUCUGGUUAAUACCCGGGGGUCAUGACGGUACCGUAAGAAUAAGCACCGGCUAACUACGUGCCAGCAGCCGCGGUAAUACGUAGGGUGCGAGCGUUAAUCGGAAUUACUGGGCGUAAAGCGUGCGCAGGCGGUGAUGUAAGACAGUUGUGAAAUCCCCGGGCUCAACCUGGGAACUGCAUCUGUGACUGCAUUGCUGGAGUGCGGCAGAGGGGGAUGGAAUUCCGCGUGUAGCAGUGAAAUGCGUAGAUAUCGAGAGGAAUACCAAAGGCGUAGGCAGGUCACUGGACAGUUACUGACACUGAGGCACGAAGGCCAGGGGAGCGAACGGGAUUAGAAACCCCGGUAGUCC